UUUCUUGCCACUGUCAGGCUUACUCCUGCCUCCUAGACUGAGGAAAGAAAAGCCUCCUGGUUUGGAGCUCAUAAUCAAGUCAGCCUUGCUGCAGGGCUCAUUUUAAGCCAGUAUCCUGGACCAGAUAAGGAAGCUGAAGCUUUGAGAAUUUAAUUUGCUCAAGGGGAGGCCAGGACAAGAAAUAAUGAAGAGUCCGAUGUGGCAGGAAUGUAGGAAACAAGUCAAUGAUGGAAGAUAAAUAUGGAGACGUGAUGAAGGCAAAAUUCUGAAGGGUCUUAGAGCCCAUUAUAAGACGUUUGGUUUUUAUGAAUAUUUCACUGAUUGCCUUGCCCGCUUCUCAAAGGCCCACUUCUCUGUGGAAUGAUGCAGUUGCUAAGAAGAGCUGUUAAUGUCAUGACCUCAAUGAAUAAAAAAGACUUCCUUUUCUCCAUGCCCACUCAAGUAAAAGGCUUCUCUCUGAACUCCUGCUAAUUUUUCAUCAGCAAAGGUGCACAGCCUUUUGGAAGUGAAAUGAUUACUAGUGAAGAAAAAGAAAGAACCUAACACUUAUUUUACAAGCCUCCCAGUGACCACUCUUCAGACAAAACUUCUUAUAAUAGCUUCCUUCCCUGAAUCUUUUGCGAAACAUCAAAUCACAAAGAGAUCUUAUUAUGCCAUUAAGAAUAUUUAAUUCAUGGGAGGAGGUCAAAAUAUCAACAUUAGCUGGAUUUUGGAAAAAGUGGAUUCCAACCCUCAGUGGACGACUUUGUGGAAUUCAAGACUCCAAUAGAGGAAGUCACCACAAAUAGCAAAAGAACAAGAAUUACCUGUGCAGCCUGAAGACGGGACUGAAUUGCUGCAAUUGUAACAUCAAAUGUUAAAUCUGAACCAGACCAUGUCCUGAAACAAAAGAGGAAGAAUCUUUGGGGAGCUGUGCUGAUGGUUUUGGAUUUCUCCAAAGGAAGAAUGCUUUGCCUGAGUCUUGUAUCCUUGGAAUUAUUAGGAAUGUUUGCCAUUAAAUAAGAUCUGAUUCAUGUGAGUUUGAGUUGACAGCUCUACCCUAUGUGUUAUCUCAGAACUCUAUACAGCAAACUAUAGAAUAUUGUUGAGAUAAAUUAAAUGAAACCUUUCCAAAUGGAAAGAUAUAUAUCAUUUUAUAGAUUGGAAAACUUAAUACUAAAAAGUGAUAGAUUCAAUACAAUGGAAUCUAUUGUUUCUAAAAUGUGCAUUUGUGUUAGUUUAUGUAUGUAUAUAAAAAUUGAAAAGCUAAUUUUAAAAAUACACAUGAAAAUAAAAGGGCCAAGAAGAACUGAGACAUUCUUGUGGAAGAUGUCAAUUCUUGCUGUACAGAUGCUAAGAUUACUAUAAGGCUUUAGUCAUUAAGGCAGAGUGGUAUUCCCUCAAAAAUUGACACACCACUGAAACAGAAUUGAAGGACAAAAAAGCCUCUACAUAAUUAUAGACACUUAAUUUAUGAUAACCAUGUCACUGAAGUUCACAUAGGACAGUUAUUUCAAUAAAUAUUAUUGAGACUGUGCAAGUAAAUAGAUAAAUUGGUAUAUAGGCAGACUCCUGUCCCACACAAUCCAUCAAAAUCAGCUCAUCUUAAAUGGGUUAUAAAAAGAUGUAUACAUUGCACUGACCAUAUUAUGAUUAGGAACUUCUAUUUGUUUAAAAAAUGUGAUUAUGAGAGUAAGAGCAAGCUACAGAUUGGCAGAAAACAUGUGCAUCUUAAUGAACAACAAAGGGCUCAUGCCGAGAAUAUAUAAAGAAAAACAAACCAUUCAGAAACAGACAUCCCUAUGAAAAAGUGGGCAAGAGAACUGAAGAGGCACUUCACAAAAGAAGAUAUCUAAAUGGCCAAUAACCAUAUGAAAAGGUACUGAACCCUUGUAGUAAUCAGAAAACAAUGCAUAUUAAAGCCAUAACACGGUAUUACUGCAUAACAUCAGAAUGGCUAAAAUGAAAAAGACUGACAAUACCAAGAGCUGGAAAAAAUGUGGAACAACUAGUACUCUCCAGUACUUAAUGUGGAAGCAUAAGUUUUUACAACUGCUCAUGAAAAUAAUUUGAUGUUAUCUACUAAUGUUGAAUAUCCUCAUACCCUAUGGCCUAGUAGUUCCACUCCUAGAUAUAAUCCCAAUAGAACAGUUUGUAUGCAUCAGAGUGUAUAUACAAGAAUGUGUACAGCAACAUUAGUUGGAAUAGCCCCAAACUGAAAACAAUGCAAAUGCCCGUAUAUAAUAGAAUUAAUGAAUUGUGAUAAUACAACAGAAUAUCACAGAGCAAUGAUAGUGAAUGUAUUACUGUUACCUGCAUGGAUGGAACUCACCAAAAUGAUGAAUGAAGAAACACACAGAAGAAUACAUACUGUAUGAUUCCAUUUAUAUAAAGUUCCAAAAUAGGUAAAACUAAAGUGUAUGGGGGUGAAUAAUUGCAUGGUAAUUUACAAAGAAAACCUAUGAGCCAAGUAAAGAGAAUGAGGGGAAGAAAAGGAGUCACAAUUCCCAAGAAGUGCUGGGGGAAAAGGGUGAGGGUCUAGGUUGACAAUGCUCUAUUUCUUGCUUGGAUGGUGGUUAUGUAAAUAUGCCCUAUAUAGUAAUUCAUUAAUCUGUACAUUCAUUUUUAAUGCAAUUUCUUUAUAAUAAUAUGCCACCAAUACUGUUUAAAAAUUUGUUUUUAAGUUUGUGAAGAGCCCAGACAGUAUAUCAGCAUCAUUUUCUCCAGCUAGAAAAACAUUUUGGAGAAAUUCUGCUUAAUAUAAAGCAGGAAUUCUCAAAGUUGUCACAACUGACAUUUGGGGCUGAAUAAGUCUUUGUUGUCAGGGGCUGUCCUAUACACUGCAGUAUGUUUAACAUCAGCCCAGUUAAGAACCACUAAGAUAAAGGAAUUGACCUUUGGAGACGUUGCUUUUUGUGCUCUGGUUACAUAUUUUUUAGAGUUGUUUUCAUGAAGUAUUAUUUUUCUUUUUUGGAGUUUUCUAUUGCUUUACUUUUAGCAUUCUGUUUCAGUUUUCUCUGGUAAUUUAUUAUAAAAUCCCCCGGGAUAAAUUUCUCUUUAAUUUAUUCUCUUGAUAUAUGAACGCAUGUGAAUGUAGAGAAGCAGUGAAAUUUCUCUUACAAUUAUUGUACAUUUUAUGUUGCAAAGUGUGGUAACAUUGUUUAAGUGUUAAGAUAUUUUAAAAUAGAAAGCAGUUAUAUUGUGAAUCAGCUGAUUUUACAGAGAAUCUAAUCCCAGGCAGAUUAUAAAGAAACCUCAGGGAUUUACCCACCACUAAUUCUGAUAAGAAGUCCAGAUCCAGGCAGGGCGCGGUGGCUCACGACUGUAAUCCCAGCACUUUGGGAGACCCAGGCAGGAGGAUCACCUGAGGUCGGCAGUUCAAGAUCAGCCUAGCUAACAUGGUGAAACCCUGUCUCUACUAAAUAUACAAAAUUAGCUGGGUGUGGUGGCACAUGCCUGUAAUCCCAGCUACUCAGGAGGCUAAGGCAGGAGAAUUGCAUGAACCCGGGAGGUGGAGGUUGCAGUGAGCCGGGAUGGCUCCACUGCACUCCAGCCUAGGCAACGGAGUGAGACUCUGUAUCAAAAAAAAAAAAAAAGAAAAAAAAUAAAUCCAGAUCCACAACAGACUCUCCCAUGCCAUUCCCUCCCCUAGCUUCCUCUCAUUCCCCAACCCCUAGCUUCAUACCUUCUUUUACUUCGACAUUAACAAAGACAGAGUUUGGCAGUCAUAACUCCACCAGUCAUUUCAAUUAUAGUUUUCAGUGAGCCACAUCAAGAACUAAAAUUAAAGGGUAAAAACCAUACUCAGCUGUGACAUUUUUAUUGCCUUAUUUUAAGUCAUUACCAGUAACUGGAAUCUGUAUACUUCACUGAACUUUCUAAAGCAAGUUCAUUUACAGCACAUUCAGUAUACAUUUUUGGGAAAAUGAGUAACCAAUUUUGCUAACUUUGUGCGUUUUAAUUGGUUGGCAAUUUCCAGACACAACUGCGGGACA
RNAcentral lists this long non-coding RNA (3974 nucleotides) under Homo sapiens (human). Its description in RNAcentral is "HSALNT0364614". Lineage: Eukaryota; Metazoa; Chordata; Mammalia; Primates; Hominidae. The record is from RNAcentral.